AGAGUCCUAUGUUGUACGUCUAUACAAUACGUUUGAACCAACACUUAUACAACGGGAGUUCAACGUCUCGUUUUCUAUAACACGCCCUGCUGAAAGAGGCGGGGAAGUUAGAAGAAAUGAGCAGAGCACCCACCUGCCAAAGCAGGUUCAAAACAAGGAACGGCAAACACGGGACUCUU
Molecule: non-coding RNA, 179 nt
Filed under: Salipaludibacillus aurantiacus
Lineage: Bacteria; Bacillati; Bacillota; Bacilli; Caryophanales; Bacillaceae
Description: 6S / SsrS RNA
Rfam family: 6S / SsrS RNA
About the family: E. coli 6S RNA was the first non coding RNA to be sequenced, but its function was unknown until recently. It consists of 184 nucleotides that fold into an extended hairpin structure with a large single-stranded internal bulge. The 6S RNA specifically associates with RNA polymerase holoenzyme containing the sigma70 specificity factor.
Source: RNAcentral